UGGGGAAUAUUGCACAAUGGGGGAAACCCUGAUGCAGCAACGCCGCGUGAAGGAAGACGGUCUUCGGAUUGUAAACUUUUGUUCUUGGUGAAGAAAAAUGACGGUAGCCAAGGAGGAAGCCACGGCUAACUACGUGCCAGCAGCCGCGGUAAUACGUAGGGAGCGAGCGUUGUCCGGAUUUACUGGGUGUAAAGGGCGUGCAGCCGGGUCUGCAAGUCAGAUGUGAAAUCCAUGGGCUCAACCCAUGAACUGCAUUUGAAACUGUAGAUCUUGAGUGUCGGAGGGGCAAUCGGAAUUCCUAGUGUAGCGGUGAAAUGCGUAGAUAUUAGGAGGAACACCAGUGGCGAAGGCGGAUUGCUGGACAGCAACUGACGGUGAGGCGCGAAAGUGUGGGGAGCAAACAGGAUUAGAUACCCUGGUAGUCCACACUGUAAACGAUGAAUACUAGGUGUGCGGGGACUGACCCCCUGCGUGCCGCAGUUAACACAAUAAGUAUUCCACCUGGGGAGUACGAUCGCAAGGUUGAAACUCAAAGGAAUUGACGGGGGCCCGCACAAGCGGUGGAUUAUGUGGUUUAAUUCGAGGCAACGCGAAGAACCUUACCAAGUCUUGACAUCCCGAUGACAAGCUAUGUAAUGUAGCCUCUCUUCGGAGCAUCGGUGACAGGUGGUGCAUGGUUGUCGUCAGCUCGUGUCGUGAGAUGUUGGGUUAAGUCCCGCAACGAGCGCAACCCCUGUUCUUAGUAGCCAGCGGUUCGGCCGGGCACUCUAGGGAGACUGCCAGGGAUAACCUGGAGGAAGGCGGGGAUGACGUCAAAUCAUCAUGCCCCUUAUGACUUGGGCUACACACGUGCUACAAUGGCGUAAACAAAGGGAAGCGGAGCCGUGAGGCCGAGCAAAUCUCAAAAAUAACGUCUCAGUUCGGACUGUAGUCUGCAACCCGACUACACGAAGCUGGAAUCGCUAGUAAUCGCAGAUCAGAAUGCUGCGGUGAAUACGUUCCC
This 1003-nucleotide ribosomal RNA is filed under the name uncultured bacterium. RNAcentral's name for it is "bacterial SSU rRNA". It matches the Rfam family "Bacterial small subunit ribosomal RNA", at positions 355 to 1375 of the family's 1533-position model. The record is from RNAcentral.